This 910-nucleotide ribosomal RNA is filed under the name uncultured bacterium. Its description in RNAcentral is "bacterial SSU rRNA". It matches the Rfam family "Bacterial small subunit ribosomal RNA", at positions 580 to 1498 of the family's 1533-position model. The record is from RNAcentral.
UAUGCAAGCCAGAUUCAAAUCCCCGGGCUCGACCUGGGAACAGCAUUUGUGACUGCCUGGCUUGGGUACGUUAGAUGGGGAUGGAGUUCCGCGUGUACCAGUGAAUGCGUAGAUAUGCGGAGGAACACCGAUAGCGAAGCAUCCCCUGUACCUGUACGGCGCUCAUGCACGAAAGCGUGGGGAGCAAACAGGAUUAGAUAUCCUGGUAGUGCACGCUCUAAACGAUGUCAAACUGGUAGUUGGGAGGGUUUCUUCUCAGUAACGAAGAUAACGCGUGAAGUUGACCGCCUGGGGAGUACGGCCCGCAAGGUUGGAACUCAAAGGAAUUGACGGGGACCCGCACAAGCGGUGGAUGAUGUGGUUUAAUUCGAUGCAACGCGAAAAACCUUACCUACCCUUGACAUGUCAGAGACCCGCGAGAGAUUGCGGGGUGCUUGAAAGAGAAUCUGAACACAGGUGCUGCAUGGCCGUCGUCAGCUCGUGUCGUGAGAUGUUGGGUUAGGUCCCGCAACGAGCGCAACCCUUGUCAUUAGUUGCUACGAAAGGGCACUCUAAUGAGACUGCCGGUGACAAACCGGAGGAAGGUGGGGAUGACGUCAGGUCAUCAUGGCCCUUAUGGGUAGGGUUACACACGUCAUACAAUGGCCGGUACAGAGGGCUGCCAACCCGCGAGGGGGAGCUAAUCCCAGAAAACCGGUCGUAGUCCGGAUCGUAGUCUGCAACUCGACUGCGUGAAGUCGGAAUCGCUAGUAAUCGCGGAUCAGCUUGCCGCGGUGAAUACGUUCCCGGGUCUUGUACACACCGCCCGUCACACCAUGGGAGCGGGUUCUGCCAGAAGUAGUUAGCCUAACCGCAAGGAGGGCGAUUACCACGGCAGGGUUCGUGACUGGGGUGAAGUCGUAACAAGGUA